CACGUAGGGCGCGAGCGUUGUCCGGAAUUAUUGGGCGUAAAGAGCUCGUAGGCGGCCUGUUGCGUCCGCUGUGAAAGCCCGGGGCUUAACCCCGGGUCGGCAGUGGAUACGGGCAGGCUAGAGGUAGGUAGGGGAGAAUGGAAUUCCCGGUGUAGCGGUGAAAUGCGCAGAUAUCGGGAGGAACACCGGUGGCGAAGGCGGUUCUCUGGGCCUUACCUGACGCUGAGGAGCGAAAGCGUGGGGAG
RNAcentral lists this ribosomal RNA (245 nucleotides) under uncultured bacterium. RNAcentral describes it as "partial 16S ribosomal RNA". It matches the Rfam family "Bacterial small subunit ribosomal RNA", at positions 524 to 768 of the family's 1533-position model. The record is from RNAcentral.